Molecule: ribosomal RNA, 251 nt
Filed under: Enterococcus faecalis
Lineage: Bacteria; Bacillati; Bacillota; Bacilli; Lactobacillales; Enterococcaceae
Description: partial 16S rRNA
Rfam family: Bacterial small subunit ribosomal RNA
Source: RNAcentral
CGCUUCUUUCCUCCCGAGUGCUUGCACUCAAUUGGAAAGAGGAGUGGCGGACGGGUGAGUAACACGUGGGUAACCUACCCAUCAGAGGGGGAUAACACUUGGAAACAGGUGCUAAUACCGCAUAACAGUUUAUGCCGCAUGGCAUAAGAGUGAAAGGCGCUUUCGGGUGUCGCUGAUGGAUGGACCCGCGGUGCAUUAGCUAGUUGGUGAGGUAACGGCUCACCAAGGCCACGAUGCAUAGCCGACCUGAG